RNAcentral lists this ribosomal RNA (1422 nucleotides) under uncultured bacterium. RNAcentral's name for it is "16S ribosomal RNA". It matches the Rfam family "Bacterial small subunit ribosomal RNA". The record is from RNAcentral.
UUGAUCAUGGCUCAGGACGAACGCUGGCGGCGUGCUUAACACAUGCAAGUCGAACGGUGAAGCGCCUUCCUUUUUGGUGGGUGUGGAUGAGUGGCGAACGGGUGAGUAACACGUGAGUAACCUGCCCCCUUCUUCUGGAUAACCGCAUGAAAGUGUGGCUAGUACGGGAUAUUCUGUGCCUGCUGCAUGGUGGGUGUGGGAAAGAUUGCGCUUUUUUGGUGUUUUUGGUGGGGGAUGGGCUCGCGGCCUAUCAGCUUGUUGGUGGGGUGAUGGCCUACCAAGGCGGUGACGGGUAGCCGGCCUGAGAGGGUGGACGGUCACACUGGGACUGAGACACGGCCCAGACUCCUACGGGAGGCAGCAGUGGGGAAUAUUGCACAAUGGGCGCAAGCCUGAUGCAGCGACGCCGCGUGAGGGAUGGAGGCCUUCGGGUUGUGAACCUCUUUCGCCAGUGAAGCAGGCCUGCUCCUUUUUUGUGGGUGGGUUGACGGUAGCUGGAUAAGAAGCGCCGGCUAACUACGUGCCAGCAGCCGCGGUAAUACGUAGGGCGCGAGCGUUGUCCGGAAUUAUUGGGCGUAAAGAGCUCGUAGGCGGCUGGUCGCGUCUGUCGUGAAAUCCUCUGGCUUAACUGGGGGCUUGCGGUGGGUACGGGCCGGCUUGAGUGCGGUAGGGGAGACUGGAACUCCUGGUGUAGCGGUGGAAUGCGCAGAUAUCAGGAAGAACACCGGUGGCGAAGGCGGGUCUCUGGGCCGUUACUGACGCUGAGGAGCGAAAGCGUGGGGAGCGAACAGGAUUAGAUACCCUGGUAGUCCACGCCGUAAACGUUGGGCACUAGGUGUGGGGGGCCUUUUCCGGGUUUUCCGCGCCGUAGCUAACGCAUUAAGUGCCCCGCCUGGGGAGUACGGCCGCAAGGCUAAAACUCAAAGGAAUUGACGGGGGCCCGCACAAGCGGCGGAGCAUGCGGAUUAAUUCGAUGCAACGCGAAGAACCUUACCAAGGCUUGACAUGUGCCGGUCGGCUCCGGAGACGGGGUUUCCUCCUUGUGGGGCCGGUUCACAGGUGGUGCAUGGUUGUCGUCAGCUCGUGUCGUGAGAUGUUGGGUUAAGUCCCGCAACGAGCGCAACCCUUGUCUCGUGUUGCCAGCACGUUGUGGUGGGGACUCGCGGGAGACUGCCGGGGUCAACUCGGAGGAAGGUGGGGAUGACGUCAAAUCAUCAUGCCCCUUAUGUCUUGGGCUUCACGCAUGCUACAAUGGCCGGUACAGAGGGCUGCGAUACCGUGAGGUGGAGCGAAUCCCUUAAAGCCGGUCUCAGUUCGGAUCGGUGUCUGCAACUCGACACCGUGAAGUUGGAGUCGCUAGUAAUCGCAGAUCAGCAACGCUGCGGUGAAUACGUUCUCGGGCCUUGCACACACCGCCCGUCA